GCAUUGUUGGGAAAUGACUGAUCUUUAAUGUAGUAAUCAGUAAGUCUUAUGUGGCUGUAAGGUGAUCUUGACUGACAUCACUGCAUGUGAUUAGUGCACAUGGUUAUAUAUGUUCUUUUACUGAGUUGCAGAUGAAUGUAAAGGUCUUACCUACCAACAGAAGAAUAAGAAAGCAUCUAAAAAGUGGAGAGAAAGAAGUGACCUGGAGAAUAAAAAGUUUGUGGAUUCUGCGAAAGUUUAUAAAGAAUUAAAUGUCAAAGUAUCAGAACUCACGGAAGAGUAGAAAAGAAAACUAAUUGAUAGACACAGAAAGAAAUUUUUGGAAGAGAUCCUGGUUCUUGAAGAUUUGUGUUUUCAGACAUCGACAUUAUAUCUGGAUGUCAGUGGUGAAGUGUACAACCUUGGAUCUAGGGCUGGAACAGCAUUUCUUGCAACUAAUCAAGAGAUAAGCAUAAAACUUCGAGAAUAUUUUGGUGCAAAUAAUCAGCAAUUUACUAUUGCUCAUGUGCAAGACCUUUUCAACAAGAAAUCCAGUAAGUGUUUAAAAAACUGCAGAAUUUGUCAUUAAAAAACUACGUUUUGUAUGUAACUAAUA
Molecule: long non-coding RNA, 595 nt
Organism: Stylophora pistillata
Lineage: Eukaryota; Metazoa; Cnidaria; Anthozoa; Scleractinia; Pocilloporidae
Source: RefSeq, a predicted model, not a curated record